This 468-nucleotide ribosomal RNA is filed under the name uncultured bacterium. Its description in RNAcentral is "bacterial SSU rRNA". It matches the Rfam family "Bacterial small subunit ribosomal RNA", at positions 28 to 491 of the family's 1533-position model. The record is from RNAcentral.
GAUGAACGCUAGCGACAGGCUUAACACAUGCAAGUCGAGGGGUAACAGGGUAGCAAUACCGCUGACGACCGGCGCACGGGUGAGUAACGCGUAUGCAACCUGCCUAUAACUGGGGAAUAGCUCCCUGAAAGGGGAAUUAACACCGCAUAACACUAUUGAUUCGCAUGGAUUGGUAGUUAAAUGUAGCGAUACAGGUUAUAGAUGGGCAUGCGUGACAUUAGCUAGUUGGUGAGGUAACGGCUCACCAAGGCUACGAUGUCUAGGGGUUCUGAGAGGAAGGUCCCCCAACUGGUACUGAGACACGGACCAGACUCCUACGGGAGGCAGCAGUGAGGAAUAUUGGUCAAUGGGCGCAAGCCUGAACCCAGCCAUGUCGCGUGCAGGAAGACUGCCCUAUGGGUUGUAAACUGCUUUUAAGUAGAAGAAACCAUCUACGCGUAGAUGUCUGCCAGUACUAGAAUAGAUCGA